Molecule: unclassified non-coding RNA, 62 nt
Filed under: Pedobacter suwonensis
Lineage: Bacteria; Pseudomonadati; Bacteroidota; Sphingobacteriia; Sphingobacteriales; Sphingobacteriaceae
Description: Flavo-1 RNA
Source: RNAcentral
AUCUAAACCCGAUGGCAGUGAGCAUGAAGCGCAGCGAAAUAAAAUGGACAGCGGGACUUUCG